GCUGUGGGGUUUUCCCGCACAGUGCUGCACUAGCAGGGAUGGUGGCCACUGCCCGGGCAGCGUUUAGAGGGGUUGCCAAGACUGUUCAGGUUUUUCGGCUUUGAAGGAGGAGAGGAAAAGGAGCGUGGGAGCUGAGGGUGGCCACAACACGAGCCAGGUCGAGACCUCACCGACAGGGCAGUAACAGGUCCAGUGACCAUCCAGCAAAGACAUGGACACAAUGUCAGCCCAGGAAACCCAAGCAGCAGUUCAGGAAUAGUAUUGGCAGCAAAGACACCCACAAGUCACCUCUAUCAUCCCAGCAUGAGAAGGACAUGGUUCGCAGCUGGAUUGACACAACAGCUCAGGCUGACUGGAGACAGGGAGAUGUUGGAUCACCUCCUCCUCGGGGCUGACUGGCAGAAGACAGACACCAGACAGACACACAGACACUGGCAGAAGCACAUGGAGGAACUCUUCUGACUGAAUAUCUCACGUGUGGAGUGGAAGAGAAGGCUGUGGCUUAGCCGGAAUGAAUGUCCACCAUCUGCCAACUCUCAUGGAUUUUUCUGAAUUUUGCCACAUUUUGUGGUGUACCUUGAAGCCCCUGGUUUUGGAAUUAUGGAAUCAUAGUUUUUAAGGCCUUAUGUUUCUGAAGAAAAGACAGAAAACCACUCAGUGAGUCUUAAGGCCCUGAAGACAAAACCAAUAUUUGUUAGAGAUCUAUAACUAUGUAUCUGUUUGUUACUCCUCUUCUGCUUCGUAUUUAAACAAUGUAAUGAUUCAUGCAGACCUGAGCUUCAGGAAGCUGAGUAUUUACUCAUUUGUGAAAGUAAAGUGCUGCUGGCCUUUGCUCUCCCAUGAAGCAGGAGGGCAUCUCUACACUGGGACACAGCACACGCUGAGUUUCAAUCCCUGUUACAGGGACUGUGGCUGGGCUGAUUUCUACCAGCCCUGGAGCUGGAUCCUUACUGAUGCUCAAGGACUCUGC
This is a long non-coding RNA of Vidua chalybeata, 970 nucleotides long. RefSeq lists it as uncharacterized. The transcript is spliced from 3 exons. NCBI's taxonomy places the organism in Eukaryota, Metazoa, Chordata, Aves, Passeriformes, Viduidae. The record is from RefSeq and is a predicted model, not a curated record.